GGCAGUGUGGUACAGUGGUUUGAACACUAGACUACAAUUCUGGGGAACAGGGUUCGAAUCCCUGCUUGGCCA
Phrynosoma platyrhinos (Desert horned lizard) is the source of this 72-nucleotide non-coding RNA. Lineage: Eukaryota; Metazoa; Chordata; Lepidosauria; Squamata; Phrynosomatidae. The record is from the annotation of a GenBank genome assembly.